CCACGCCGUAAACGAUGAGCACUAGGUGUCGGGUGAAAGCUCGGUGCCGGCGUUAACACAAUAAGUGCUCCGCCUGGGGAGUACGUUCGCAAGAAUAAAACUCAAAGGAAUUGACGGGGACCCGCACAAGUAGCGGAGCAUGUGGUUUAAUUCGAAGCAACGCGAAGAACCUUACCUAAGCUUGACAUACCUUUGCAAGGAAAGAUAAAAAAUUCCCCUGUACUUGUACACAAAGGAUACAGGUGGUGCAUGGUUGU
RNAcentral lists this ribosomal RNA (257 nucleotides) under uncultured bacterium. RNAcentral's name for it is "partial 16S ribosomal RNA". It matches the Rfam family "Bacterial small subunit ribosomal RNA", at positions 795 to 1052 of the family's 1533-position model. The record is from RNAcentral.